RNAcentral lists this ribosomal RNA (594 nucleotides) under Trichoderma harzianum. RNAcentral's name for it is "eukaryotic LSU rRNA". The stretch from base 236 to 389 matches the Rfam family "5.8S ribosomal RNA". The record is from RNAcentral. Lineage: Eukaryota; Fungi; Ascomycota; Sordariomycetes; Hypocreales; Hypocreaceae.
UCUGUAGGUUGAACACUUGCGGAGGGAUCAUUACCGAGUUUACAACUCCCAAACCCAAUGUGAACGUUACCAAACUGUUGCCUCGGCGGGAUCUCUGCCCCGGGUGCGUCGCAGCCCCGGACCAAGGCGCCCGCCGGAGGACCAACCAAAACUCUUUAUUGUAUACCCCCUCGCGGGUUUUUUUAUAAUCUGAGCCUUCUCGGCGCCUCUCGUAGGCGUUUCGAAAAUGAAUCAAAACUUUCAACAACGGAUCUCUUGGUUCUGGCAUCGAUGAAGAACGCAGCGAAAUGCGAUAAGUAAUGUGAAUUGCAGAAUUCAGUGAAUCAUCGAAUCUUUGAACGCACAUUGCGCCCGCCAGUAUUCUGGCGGGCAUGCCUGUCCGAGCGUCAUUUCAACCCUCGAACCCCUCCGGGGGGUCGGCGUUGGGGAUCGGCCCUGCCUUUGGCGGUGGCCGUCUCCGAAAUACAGUGGCGGUCUCGCCGCAGCCUCUCCUGCGCAGUAGUUUGCACACUCGCAUCGGGAGCGCGGCGCGUCCACAGCCGUUAAACACCCAACUUCUGAAAUGUUGACCUCGGAUCAGGUAGGAAUACCCGC